This is a long non-coding RNA of Hyla sarda, 1075 nucleotides long. RefSeq lists it as uncharacterized. Lineage: Eukaryota; Metazoa; Chordata; Amphibia; Anura; Hylidae. The record is from RefSeq and is a predicted model, not a curated record. The transcript has 5 exons.
GAAGAAAGGAGACGUUUCCUUACCAAGAUGGCCGCAGCCCGACGAAUGCAUGGGGUUUGAAAUUCAUCCUUGUGAAACACAGGCUGUACUUCCGGAUUUCUGAAAAGUCAGGGAUGCGUGGAUAUUACUUAAUGGAGCUUUUCCUCCAGACAGGAAGUCCAGUUCUUAUCACACAUGUCGACUGUCAGGUACCAGGUUGCUGGGCCCCACACAUCACUUUGUAAAAUCACACUCUCUUCUCCUCAGCUCAGAGAGUCAAGAGCAGCCGAGAGCUUCAGUGUGCAGUUGUCCCUGAUUGGCUGAGGGUCUUUCAUUCACAGUUUCUUCUGAUUGAUUGACCUUACAUCGAGGAGCAAUAAGCCAGCAUGUGGACAGUGAGAAACGCUCCAUUUCCGAAGGAGAUAUAAGGGUCAGGGUUUUUGUCUAAAAUCCCAUGCAAGUCUAUGGGACUUCUGGUACCUUACUCUACAAGCUCUGCAUCGCAUCUAUGGAUACAGCCACAUCACAGGCUCUUCAAGUACCUCUUCAUCAGUUCAGCAUCUUCUGGCGAUUGUAUCAGUCUGGUUUACAAGCCACAUACCUCCCACAAGCCACCUCUAAUAGCCCAGCCCCUUGCACUUUUGGGCAUAUUAUCUCUUUAUCACAGCUCAGCCCCACCUGAGGACGGGAUAUGAGGAUGGCAUAUGAGGAUGGAAUAUGAGGACAAGGGAAUCAGUGUUGUUUUCCCUCUCCUGCAAGGUUUAAAAAAGAAGACCAGGCAACUAAAAGCGACCAUACUGAAGGCCAUACUAAAAGAGAUCUACACUUUAUGGCAAUAGAUCCUGUACCUAGCCCGGUGAGAGGGGUGAAUACAUCAGUUCAAUACCUUGCGGCCACAUGGCCUUAAUGUCUAGGUCGUGGUUCUUCUGGAGUAUCUCCAUUUUUCUGCAGGCUCCAAUUAAGACAUUAUGAGUGAUGUGUAUCUGUAUAUGAAUUUUGUUCUAUAUAUUUUUUUCUUUUUAUAGAUCAUCGGCAUAUUGAAUAUAACUAUGAAGGGGAGGCUUUGGAGAUUGUAUGAAUAAUUAUAUGUCUUACA